Molecule: ribosomal RNA, 253 nt
Filed under: uncultured bacterium
Lineage: Bacteria
Description: partial 16S ribosomal RNA
Rfam family: Bacterial small subunit ribosomal RNA
Source: RNAcentral
UACGGAGGGGACUAGCGUUGUUCGGAAUUACUGGGCGUAAAGCGCACGUAGGCGGAUUUGUAAGUCAGGGGUGAAAUCCCGGGGCUCAACCUCGGAACUGCCCUUGAUACUGCAAAUCUCGAGUCCGGAAGAGGUGAGUGGAAUUCCUAGUGUAGAGGUGAAAUUCGUAGAUAUUAGGAAGAACACCAGUGGCGAAGGCGGCUCACUGGUCCGGUACUGACGCUGAGGUGCGAAAGCGUGGGGAGCAAACAGG